Molecule: long non-coding RNA, 472 nt
Organism: Balaenoptera acutorostrata (minke whale)
Lineage: Eukaryota; Metazoa; Chordata; Mammalia; Artiodactyla; Balaenopteridae
Exons: 3
Source: RefSeq, a predicted model, not a curated record
GGGGAGAGGCAGCAGGUGGAAAGGAGGGCCUGUGGAGUGUGGAGUUCCGGAGUUUGGAGCCCCGACCCCCGCGAGUGAAGGCGGAACCAAAGCCCUGAAGGCGCGAUCUGAACAGCGGCCACUAGAGGACAAGCUUACUUCGUGCUGUGACCAGUUAGCAACCAGCUGCUGUAAUUCAGAGCAUGGUUUGGCAACAAAGGUGACGUCAGCAGAGGGGACACGGGUUGAAUCCCUGGUUCAGGAAGAUCCCACAUGCCGCGGAACAGCUAAGCCCGUGUGCCACGACUACUGAGCCUGCGCUGUAGAGCCCACGAGCCACAACUACUGAGCCCACCUGCCACAACUACUGAAGCCCGUGCUCCUAGAGCCCUGCUCCACAACAAGAGAAGCCACCGCAAUGAGAAGCCUGCACGCAGCAAUGAAGAGUAGCCCCCCAGUCACUGCAACUAGAGAAAACAGCAACAAAGACCCA